Non-coding RNA from Corylus avellana, 2195 nucleotides. NCBI's taxonomy places the organism in Eukaryota, Viridiplantae, Streptophyta, Magnoliopsida, Fagales, Betulaceae. The record is from RefSeq and is a predicted model, not a curated record.
UCAAAUCUCAAAUGGUGUUACAUAAUAAGAAGCAUCUCCGAAACCCAACUUCCCACUCCUCAUCCUCUUUUAAGUCUUAUCCCAUCCGCCCCUUUCCUCCGUCUUUAGUCGAUCGCUCAGGCCAGCCCCGACUGCUUAUUAUGGCGACCAACAUUUUCGCUAAUAUUGAUAUUCUAUCGGAUAUUUCUCUGGGACUCGGUAUAGAAUUUCAAUAUCAGUCUUUGAUGGAUGUUCUUCCACCACACUCACAGAUGUCGGGGAAAGAGACCAAUGAACGAGGAUCUCUUGUUAUCGGCUUUUUUCCGUAACUUUUAAGAUAAUAUCUGAGUAGAAUAGUUGAGCAGAAUAGUUGAGCUUCAUUAAUAAAAUUAAUUAGAUGGAGCUAUAUCAUAUUAGCUUUUAUACUGUACAUCAUCAGAUAAACUGAAAAAAAAAAAAAUAAAAUAAAAUAAAAUAAAAUCUAUUAUACCAUCGCAUUAUAUAAUUGUUCCUUUUCAAUGGUUUUUGAUGAGACAAUGGACAAGGGAUGCAGGCAGGCUAGUUCCUUCUCGAAUAUUUUCCAUUUCCCUCCCGAUUUAGUUAGAUUUUCUCUUGCUGUAAAUGGUUGUUGGAUUUCAAUUCCAACCAAAUUAGUUCAUGAUUAACAAAGAUGGUUGUGGACUUUUAGGCAGAUUGCAGGCGAGAAGUGCGGGUGUGUUUGGAGUUAUUUUUCUUAUUUUCUCUAUUCAUUCCUUCUUUCCUGAUUUUUACUAUAUUUUAUUUUUGAACAUCAUUUUCUUGAUUUAUCCUUUUUUAACUUUAACGUAAUUUCUUCUUUUUACAUAUAAUUUUUUCCCUGCCUUAUUUUUCCUUCUUUUAGUUUUCUUAAGAUUUGGCAUGCAUGAUGUAGUACUCUAAGCUCAAUUUCUAAUCUAACUUGUAAUUUGAAUAUUUUGGUUAUUUAAAUAUUGAAAAUAUUGGUAGGUAAAAUUUAAAUAUUUGAUUGGAGAAUUUUACACAAUUUUAAGUUCGAAUUCUCAUUGUAUUUAAGUACUAAUGAUUAGAAAAGAAAAAAAAAAUACCAAUUUAUUAUGCAAUGCAAAAAAUAAUAAUAAUAAAUAAAUAAAUAACAUAAAAAUUUUAUUUUAUCUCGUUAAUGAUUUUGACUUGUUCUAUUUUAUUGGUCUUUUUAACUUUUUCAGAAUGGAGUACUUUUCUGCUUUGUCAUAAUAGAGUAGUCUCUUCACAAAUUAACCUUUUUAGUAAAUAGUUUAUCGUAAAUCUGUUUAUCUCCCUUUAAAGGACAACAAGAGGGGAUAGAUAGCAGUCUUCCUGUCCAGUGAAAGGCUAUAGGAAAAUGUUGGUAGUGUGGAAAAACUGAUUUAUGAACAAUUACAAUCUUAUCAUAGAAGCCAAUGGCCUUUCUCUUCUAUUCCACAACAAGAUUUGUCGCACUUAUUUAACUACAUGCAAUAAUGCCUUUUGAAACAUAACAUGAAACUAAGGAAUCCUUUGUAUGCAGUUAAUACAAGCUUUGAAAAAACAAGAGAGUAAUAGUUCACAUGAUAUUCAAUGCAAUACACUAAUAAACAAAAUUAGUGUAACAGAUCACAUCAGUAAUGCAAAUAGAUCUGGUGAUUUUCAUGCUUAUUAACUGAAGCAUUAUCAAAGGAUUGCUUGCAGCAUUGGAAGAGAAAGAGCAAUUGGCACAAACUACAAUGUGGGUGUCCCUUGCCACCCAACAUACCACGUCCACACCACAGGACAUUAUUCUAUAUGAGUCGUAGUUAGUUCUACAGUGGGUCUUCUUUCCUUAGAAAUUAUAAGGGUAAAAGUGUAAAAAAAGAAAAAAGCAAAAACAGUAAAAUUACACUUUUAUGCGUUUUAUCCUUUACACUAAUGCCUGCAGAAGCCAGACUUGGGGAAGGGAAAAAUGUGGAAAACACAGAGGAAUCCUAUAACUAAAGGAGAUGACUACUUUUUUGCUGAUGAGAAUAUACGAUUGCAGAGAAGGAAGAUUUGUAAUGCAGUAUAAUUUCCCGGAGAUGACCUUGGGAAUGAAGCCUGGUUCAGGACCGAAGAAACGUGGGACUCUUGCCAUUGAAGGUUUAGAAAACAUUAUCAAUUUUCGUAACUCGAGGGAAAUGUGAACUCUACUCUUAAUAUUUUGCUUAAACUUUGAAAUAAGAGAGUAGAAUGUCGUCAGUUCAUCAUCC